CCUACGGGUGGCAGCAGUGAGGAAUAUUGGUCAAUGGACGAGAGUCUGAACCAGCCAAGUAGCGUGAAGGAUGACUGCCCUAUGGGUUGUAAACUUCUUUUAUAUGGGAAUAAAACGUUCCACGUGUGGGAUUUUGUAUGUACCAUAUGAAUAAGGAUAGGCUAACUCCGUGCCAGCAGCCGCGGUAAUACGGAGGAUCCGAGCGUUAUCCGGAUUUAUUGGGUUUAAAGGGAGCGUAGGUGGAUUGUUAAGUCAGUUGUGAAAGUUUGCGGCUCAACCGUAAAAUUGCAGUUGAAACUGGCAGUCUUGAGUACAGUAGAGGUGAGCGGAAGUCGUGGUGUAGCGGUGAAAUGCUUAGAUAUCACGAAGAAAUCCGAUUGCGAAGGCAGUUCACUGGACUGCAACUGACACUGAGGCUCGAAAGUGGGGGUAUCAAACAGGAUUAGAUACCCGAGUAGUC
RNAcentral lists this ribosomal RNA (460 nucleotides) under uncultured bacterium. Its description in RNAcentral is "partial 16S ribosomal RNA". It matches the Rfam family "Bacterial small subunit ribosomal RNA", at positions 338 to 795 of the family's 1533-position model. The record is from RNAcentral.